GUUGCUUCCACUGGAAGAGUGGCCUCCUCAGUUUGGCCACUCCUUAGACGGAAGCAUAAAUAAACUUUGGUCAGUAUUAAACAGCAUGAUGUUUCCUCUCUGUAGCAUCGUGUUACCUGUCUCCUGGUACAUUU
RNAcentral lists this small nucleolar RNA (134 nucleotides) under Ananas comosus (pineapple). Its description in RNAcentral is "small nucleolar RNA snoR137". It matches the Rfam family "small nucleolar RNA snoR137". Lineage: Eukaryota; Viridiplantae; Streptophyta; Magnoliopsida; Poales; Bromeliaceae. The record is from Rfam by way of RNAcentral.